Triplophysa dalaica is the source of this 908-nucleotide long non-coding RNA. RefSeq lists it as uncharacterized. The transcript is spliced from 4 exons. The record is from RefSeq and is a predicted model, not a curated record. Lineage: Eukaryota; Metazoa; Chordata; Actinopteri; Cypriniformes; Nemacheilidae.
GUCGGCGGGACACUGAUGUCCACCACGUUGUUUCCCGGCGACUCGUCGUGGGCCGAUCGAUCGGCGAUCUGCUUCUGUGAUACGAUACGAUCGAGGAUGCUGCAUCAGAUUUCUGGGAGAAUCUGUGUUAAAGGCUAGAACAUCAGGAAGUUUAGAGAGGAUGUGAAGCGCUGGAGGAAUCAGAGGUUAGGAGGAAAACAUGUGAUAAUACCAUUCCAGAAACCACCAUUCCUCUAACGGACGGGAAAUGAGCUGCUGAAAUAUUCUAGAGUCUGUUGCACAGGGAAGGUGGAUAAAGCGACGAGGGAUGACUACGACUAGAACUUGAGACACAUUAAGAGAUGAACAGUAAGAUCCAACCUACCUGCCAUCAAAACACUGACGCAACACACACAAACUGACACUAUAUGACAGGAUCCUGUCAUCCUCACUGAGAACUGUCAUUAAUACUUUGCUCUUUUUGUCUUUAUGUUGAUAUGUGUUGUUACGAUCUAAUUAUUAGAUCACAACAAAGUAAGGGAGACGCCACACAACCACUGCAUAAAUAAUGAGAUUUAUUUAACUUAAAUAAGAAAUAUGAAAUGUCAAGUGAUCAGUGUAAAUGUAAAUAGCAAGUUCAAAUGACAUCAGUUCAACAAAACAUAAACAACUAAAGGCCCAAAUCAAAACAUUAUAGAAAAAAUGGAUCACAUGAUGAUGACCCCAACGAGGCUGUGCGUCUCCCAUAACCCACACAUCCCGUCAGCUCUCCUGUAGUCUCAAUGAGCAGCACCACCAGCGAGUAACACUCUCUCUGCCGUCUCCGUUUAAACCGGUGUCUUUUAAAGUGCCAUGAUUACGUUAAGGUGUAAAGCCACGCCCUCCAGCAAUCAGCCUGUAACUCGUGAACAAUACAACCACUCACUGAG